This 730-nucleotide ribosomal RNA is filed under the name Methylobacterium sp. SR1.6/6. RNAcentral describes it as "bacterial SSU rRNA". It matches the Rfam family "Bacterial small subunit ribosomal RNA", at positions 28 to 801 of the family's 1533-position model. The record is from RNAcentral. Lineage: Bacteria; Pseudomonadati; Pseudomonadota; Alphaproteobacteria; Hyphomicrobiales; Methylobacteriaceae.
CGAGAACUCUCGCAGGCUUACAUACCAAGUCGAGCGGGCCCUUCGGGGUCAGCGGCGGACGGGUGAGUAACGCGUGGGAACGUGCCUUCUGGUUCGGAAUAACCCUGGGAAACUAGGGCUAAUACCGGAUACGCCCUUUUGGGGAAAGGUUUACUGCCGGAAGAUCGGCCCGCGUCUGAUUAGCUAGUUGGUGGGGUAACGGCCUACCAAGGCGACGAUCAGUAGCUGGUCUGAGAGGAUGAUCAGCCACACUGGGACUGAGACACGGCCCAGACUCCUACGGGAGGCAGCAGUGGGGAAUAUUGGACAAUGGGCGCAAGCCUGAUCCAGCCAUGCCGCGUGAGUGAUGAAGGCCUUAGGGUUGUAAAGCUCUUUUAUCCGGGACGAUAAUGACGGUACCGGAGGAAUAAGCCCCGGCUAACUUCGUGCCAGCAGCCGCGGUAAUACGAAGGGGGCUAGCGUUGCUCGGAAUCACUGGGCGUAAAGGGCGCGUAGGCGGCGUUUUAAGUCGGGGGUGAAAGCCUGUGGCUCAACCACAGAAUGGCCUUCGAUACUGGGGACGCUUGAGUAUGGUAGAGGUUGGUGGAACUGCAAGUGUAAAGGUGAAAUUCCUUAGAAUUUCGCAAGAACACCCGUGGGGAAGGCGGCCCAACUGGACCAUUUCUGACGCUGAAGCCCCGAAAGCGUGGGGAGCCAAACGGGAUUAGAAUUCCCUGGGUAGUCCCACGCC